GCGACUGUGGUGGAAUUGGUAUACACAACGGAUUUAAAAUCCGUCGCCUUUGGUAUACGGGUUCAAGUCCCGUCAGUCGCACCA
RNAcentral lists this transfer RNA (84 nucleotides) under Vibrio parahaemolyticus. RNAcentral describes it as "tRNA-Leu". It matches the Rfam family "tRNA". From Rfam's summary of the family: Transfer RNA (tRNA) molecules are approximately 80 nucleotides in length. Their secondary structure includes four short double-helical elements and three loops (D, anti-codon, and T loops). Lineage: Bacteria; Pseudomonadati; Pseudomonadota; Gammaproteobacteria; Vibrionales; Vibrionaceae. The record is from RNAcentral.